CGAUAAUAUGUGGAUAGUGGCUAGAAAAAUAAGACAAAAGAGUGGGAAUCCUAAUUUUAGGUGAUUUCUUGCACACUUUUUAAACUCUUUUUCACCACUUUUAUUGUAUUUGUUCAUUGAUUUUCAAAUCUAAAGUAAGGAGAAAAAUGAAUAUAGAGGAAAAAACUAGUGUGAAAUAUUUUUUUAUUAAGAAAUAAUUUUUUUGAGGUCAUUACUAAGAAAUCAAUGUUGAAUAAGAAUUAAGAAAAUGAAAAGGGGUAAAAGGUAAAAUAAGAAAAACAAAAGUAGACAAAAGUGAAAAGGGGAGAAAAGAAGCAUACUCGUUCGGAACUGUUUUUAAAUAAUUAAAAUCAUAUUUAGAGAAAUUAUUUUUAAAAACAAAUCUUUAGUUAAAAUACAAGUUAAUUUUGGAAAGGAUUCCUUUUGGAAAAUAACUUGAUGGGUUUUUUUGGCAAAAAGUACAUAAUAAAUGUUUCUUCAAGAAUGCACUUUAAGUAUAUUUAGGACUCAAAAAUAUUUUAUCUACAAAUGUUUUCAGCAAUUUAAAAACACUUUUCAAACUAAUUAGUAUAUUAGCAGGCUUGGUGAGAGUUGGAAGCCGAGCCAAUAAGUGGAACUAGAAAAUAAAUUAAAGAAAGAAAGAAGGCAACGUAAAGGGCGGAAGAUGACGGAAGCUAAUUAACGGCAAAAAUUGUCUGUUAGCCUGCAAAACGUGAAGGCAGGUUUGUUUCUGUGGCCCGUCGUGCCCUCACU
RNAcentral lists this long non-coding RNA (753 nucleotides) under Malus domestica (apple). Its description in RNAcentral is "long non-coding RNA (MDOM_LNC016282)". Lineage: Eukaryota; Viridiplantae; Streptophyta; Magnoliopsida; Rosales; Rosaceae. The record is from RNAcentral.